CUGGACAUUUCCGUCGUGGUCUGCCUUGAAUCCAAGCUGAAGAACAGAAACUUGAAGUUUAGAAACUGGAAUAAUGGCUGAGCAAACGCUGUUUUUCAACCCAAGUGUCCCAUCACUAGUCCAAUCGAGGAAAGAUUGCAGGAUGGAAUGAAUAUUACUGUAUGUGGACGAGUUCCAUCAGACUCAAACAGAUUCCAAGUGGAACUCCAGUAUGGGUCCGAUAUCAUUCUUCACUUUAACCCUCGCUAUGAGUCUGGAGGAUAUGUAGUGCACAACACCCUCCAAAACUCGUCACC
This is a long non-coding RNA of Sinocyclocheilus anshuiensis, 296 nucleotides long. RefSeq lists it as uncharacterized. NCBI's taxonomy places the organism in Eukaryota, Metazoa, Chordata, Actinopteri, Cypriniformes, Cyprinidae. The record is from RefSeq and is a predicted model, not a curated record. The transcript has 3 exons.